CCAGACUAGUUUCUGGAGUUCUGCCCACAUGCCAGAAAAAAUUUUAUUAUUUUAUCUGAAUUCUGUGUCUCUGUGUAUUUCUUUCUGACAUUUCUGUAACAUUUGGUUCCCUGACUGGGAAUCGGGAAUGAAAUAGCCCUUUUGGGCAUCCUGUACCCCAUAGGAGGGAGUGGCUCUCUGUCUCCUGGAGAGGAAAGUCAUGCCCCUGGGACUAAUUUCUGAGGCACAGAGAUCUGGUCACCUGCAGAGGUUUGCCUGAACCUGACGAGACUACAGAAGGAGGACUGCUGCUCUUGGUGUCUCGUCUGUCUCUUUCCUUUGUUGGAUGGGAGCAGCUUCAUGGAAGAUGGGGUUCAUCAUGCUGGAUAUGUGGUAACCAUGAAGGAUGAAGUGGUCCUAGCCAGGGCCAUCAGUGCAAUGUGCUAAGCUCUGGGCACUCAAACAAGCACUCUGAUGGGCAAAGGGUAAAAAGAAAUCUUCCUAACUUUUUCUCCAGAAAUCUUCGUUGCAUUAACUCUUUCAUCAAAUGUUUAUUGAUGAUUUUAUAUGUCUGGCCAUUGUUUUGGGCUCUGGAAAUAAAAACAAUAAAAUAUUGUCCACACAAGUGGUAAAAGAAGGUGAUGUUAAAGCAAGGGCCAACUACUACAAGUUUAUGAAUUCAUGAAGUUCCAAAGAUGAUUAGCCUACUCCAUUUAUACCAGAGCAAUGAACACGUGACCCGAAGGCACUGACAUCCUCUGUGAGAUAUAAGAUGGCUCUGCUUUAGUGUAUGUAGAGGGGCAUAGAUCAUAAAAGAAUAUCAUAUAUAGACAUCUCUGUGAAAUAACUAUAUGAAAACUUUGUUUCAAUGAAUACAUUAG
Long non-coding RNA from Heterocephalus glaber (naked mole-rat), 860 nucleotides. Lineage: Eukaryota; Metazoa; Chordata; Mammalia; Rodentia; Bathyergidae. The record is from Ensembl.